Molecule: ribosomal RNA, 352 nt
Filed under: Nebrioporus clarkii
Lineage: Eukaryota; Metazoa; Arthropoda; Insecta; Coleoptera; Dytiscidae
Description: partial 12S ribosomal RNA
Source: RNAcentral
UUUAAAUGUAAAUUUAAAUUCAUUUAAUUAGUAUUAGUUAUGAUCUUGAAAUUUAAAAAAUUUGGCGGUAUUUUAGUCUAUUCAGAGGAACCUGUUCUAUAAUUGAUAAUCCACGAUUAAUUAUACUUUAUUUAUUAGUUUGUAUAUCGUCGUUAUUAAAUAUUUUAUAAGAAUAAAAAUGUUUAAUUUUUUAAAUAAAAAAAUAUAUCAGAUCAAGGUGCAGUGUAUAUUAAAGAAGAAAUGGGUUACAAUAAAUUUAUUUAUAUGGAUAAAAAUAUGAAAAUUUUUUUGAAAGUGGAUUUGAAAGUAAUAAUAUUAAAAUUAAUUUUAUGAUUUAAGCUCUAAAAUGUGU